UGGAGAGUUUGAUCCUGGCUCAGAACGAACGCUGGCGGCAGGCUUAACACAUGCAAGUCGAGCGCCCCGCAAGGGGAGCGGCAGACGGGUGAGUAACGCGUGGGAAUCUACCUUUUGCUACGGAAUAACUCAGGGAAACUUGUGCUAAUACCGUAUGUGCCCUUCGGGGGAAAGAUUUAUCGGCAAAGGAUGAGCCCGCGUUGGAUUAGCUAGUUGGUGAGGUAAAGGCUCACCAAGGCGACGAUCCAUAGCUGGUCUGAGAGGAUGAUCAGCCACACUGGGACUGAGACACGGCCCAGACUCCUACGGGAGGCAGCAGUGGGGAAUAUUGGACAAUGGGCGCAAGCCUGAUCCAGCCAUGCCGCGUGAGUGAUGAAGGUCUUAGGAUUGUAAAGCUCUUUCACCGGUGAAGAUAAUGACGGUAACCGGAGAAGAAGCCCCGGCUAACUUCGUGCCAGCAGCCGCGGU
This 468-nucleotide ribosomal RNA is filed under the name Ochrobactrum sp. IRH19. RNAcentral describes it as "bacterial SSU rRNA". It matches the Rfam family "Bacterial small subunit ribosomal RNA", at positions 1 to 521 of the family's 1533-position model. The record is from RNAcentral. Lineage: Bacteria; Pseudomonadati; Pseudomonadota; Alphaproteobacteria; Hyphomicrobiales; Brucellaceae. RNAcentral also lists the same sequence under 3 other names.